Molecule: ribosomal RNA, 253 nt
Filed under: uncultured bacterium
Lineage: Bacteria
Description: partial 16S ribosomal RNA
Rfam family: Bacterial small subunit ribosomal RNA
Source: RNAcentral
UACAGAGGUCUCGAGCGUUGUUCGGAUUCAUUGGGCGUAAAGGGCGCGUAGGCGGCGGGGUAAGUCUGGUGUGAAAUCUCGGAGCUCAACUCCGAAACUGCACUGGAUACUGCUCUGCUAGAGGGCUGGAGAGGAGAUCGGAAUUCACGGUGUAGCAGUGAAAUGCGUAGAUAUCGUGAGGAAGACCAGUGGCGAAGGCGGAUCUCUGGACAGCUCCUGACGCUGAGGCGCGAAGGCUAGGGGAGCAAACAGG